CUGGAGCCCCUGGCUGGCUGUGUGAUUCUGCCCAGUCCCCCGCUCCCUGUCCGGGCCCUCUGUUCUCUCCUUACGGUGGGGAGAGGUCUGAAUGAGGCCCCAGCUCACGCACUCCAUUAUCUUGAGGCUGCUCCCACCCCCAGGCCCGAGGGAGACAGAGGCCUUUUGAGCUGGGGCUGGCAGGCGAGGCUGGAGUCCCAGGGCUACCAGAGCGUUGCGGAGGGAAUGCUUUGAAGAGGCCCCGCCCUUCCUGGGGCUGCGGCUCAGCUCCGGCCUCCCUCACCCGGCAGGGAUUCCCGUUCUAGGGAACAUGUGGUCUUUGGCAGCGGCUGGGGCCAAAGCCCGGGCAAGACCAACGCCUUCGGCACCCGGACUCAGGCUCCGUCCUCUCUGCCAGCGUGCGGCUACAAUGACUCGACAUGG
Molecule: long non-coding RNA, 423 nt
Filed under: Homo sapiens (human)
Lineage: Eukaryota; Metazoa; Chordata; Mammalia; Primates; Hominidae
Description: HSALNT0314384
Source: RNAcentral